RNAcentral lists this ribosomal RNA (253 nucleotides) under uncultured bacterium. Its description in RNAcentral is "partial 16S ribosomal RNA". It matches the Rfam family "Bacterial small subunit ribosomal RNA", at positions 524 to 776 of the family's 1533-position model. The record is from RNAcentral.
UACGUAGGUGGCAAGCGUUGUCCGGAUUUACUGGGCGUAAAGAGCGCGCAGGCGGUCGUUCAAGUCGCGUGUGAAAGCCCCCGGCUCAACUGGGGAGGGUCACGCGAUACUGAUCGACUCGAAGGCAGGAGAGGGAAGUGGAAUUCCCGGUGUAGUGGUGAAAUGCGUAGAUAUCGGGAGGAACACCAGUAGCGAAGGCGGCUCGCUGGGCCGUUCCUGACGCUGAGACGCGAAAGCUAGGGGAGCGAACAGG